CGUCAGAUACUUAGCAGAGAUGCUUUGGUGCCUUCGGGACUCUGAGACAGGUGCUGCAUGGCUGUCGUCAGCUCGUGUUGUGAAAUGUUGGGUUAAGUCCCGCAACGAGCGCAACCCUUAUCCUUUGUUGCCAGCGGUCCGGCCGGGAACUCAAAGGAGACUGCCAGUGAUAAACUGGAGGAAGGUGGGGAUGACGUCAAGUCAUCAUGGCCCUUACCAUUAGGGCUACACACGUGCUACAAUGGCGCAUACAAAGAGAAGCGACCUCGCGAGAGCAAGCGGACCUCAUAAAGUGCGUCGUAAUCUGGAUUGGAGUCUGCAACUCCUGUCCCUGAAGUCCCAAUCGCUACAAAUCAUCUCUGAAAAUGUCUCGGGAUGUACGUUCCCGGGUCUUUCUUCGCCGUAAA
RNAcentral lists this ribosomal RNA (407 nucleotides) under uncultured Pantoea sp. RNAcentral describes it as "bacterial SSU rRNA". It matches the Rfam family "Bacterial small subunit ribosomal RNA", at positions 988 to 1382 of the family's 1533-position model. The record is from RNAcentral. Lineage: Bacteria; Pseudomonadati; Pseudomonadota; Gammaproteobacteria; Enterobacterales; Erwiniaceae.